Molecule: long non-coding RNA, 742 nt
Organism: Ictalurus punctatus (channel catfish)
Lineage: Eukaryota; Metazoa; Chordata; Actinopteri; Siluriformes; Ictaluridae
Source: Ensembl
GUGUAUUGUGUGUUAAUGCAGGUGUGUUAGUGUGUGUUAAUGCAGGUGUAUUAUUGUGUGUUAAUGCAGGUGUGUUAGUGUGUGUUAAUGCAGGUGUGUUAUUGUGUGUUAAUGCAGGUGUGUUAGUGUGUGUUAAUGCAGGUGUGUUAAUGCAGGUGUAUUAGUGUGUGUUAAUGCAGGUGUGUUAGUGUGUGUUAAUGCAGGUGUGUUAAUGCAGCUGUAUUAGUGUGUGUUAAUGCAGGUGUAUUAGUGUGUGUUAAUGCAGGUGUAUUAUUGUGUGUUAAUGCAGGUGUGUUAGUGUGUGUUAAUGCAGGUGUGUUAGUGUGUGUUAAUGCAGGAGUAUUAGUGUGUGUUAAUGCAGGUGUAUUAGUGUGUGUUAAUGCAGGUGUGUUAAUGCAGGUGUGUUAAUGCAGGUGUGUUAGUGUGUGUUAAUGAAGGUGUGUUAAUGCAGGUGUGUUAGUGUGUGUUAAUGCAGGUGUAUUAUUGUGUGUUAAUGCAGGUGUAUUAUUGUGUGUUAAUGCAGGUGUGUUAGUGUGUGUUAAUGCAGGUGUAUUAGUGUGUGUUAAUGCAGGUGUGUUAGUGUGUGUUAAUGCAGGUGUAUUAUUGUGUGUUAAUGCAGGUGUAUUAUUGUGUGUUAAUGCAGGUGUGUUAGUGUGUGUUAAUGCAGGUGUGUUAGUGUGUGUUAAUGCAGGUGUGUUAAUGCAGGUGUGUUAUUGUGUGUUAACGCAGGUGUGUUAGUGUG